UCUACAAAAUGUGUGAAUGUUCAUGAAGUUUGCGAUACUCCUUUCACAUGUCUUUGACACGCGUGCGAUAAAAAGCCGUUUAUAUCAUUUUCUUGAGAAUGUACACUCGUGUGGACGUGUCGGUAGGGCUCGUGAAAAAUUCAUAUGUUUUAUAUUCUUAAGAACUUGACUCCAAGUGUGUGCUUAAUCUAAGCAAUGGAAAUACUAGUGACAGGCAUAUAUAUGCCGAAAGAGGGAGGUUAUUUGUUCAAAAUGUAUGUACCAGAGGAACUAAUAAAAGCGAUCUUGAACAUAUUUCUUAUAAUCAAAGAAAGGUAUAAAGUGUCAACUGUUAAGCAUUAAACAUGGUUUACAAAUAAGGGUUGGCAACGAAUAAAUCAUUCGAAAAGUUCUUGCUAUCUGAAUACUUUGAAAUUUUCAUCAGUUGAACAACUAUUAUUGCGUAGCUGUUAUACAUAUACGUAAAAGAACUGACAUUUUUAAGUGAGUAAACGUAAUAAAAGCGCGUCCACUAGAGCCAAACGGAUAAAAUUCCAUGAUGAACUUACGAAUAGAACCACUGCCAGUGUCAUACAAAGCGUCAAAAGUGUAGCUUAGAAGAGUCCAAUACCAGUUCGAUGACUUUUUGAUGAAGGGGACACUGUCGUUAAUGCUGAAACAGACAAUUUUGUUACGACGUUGUUCUUAUAGAUGCUUAUACCGUUGUUUUUGUUGCUGAAAAUGACGACGUUGUUUAUGAAGAAGUUUUGUCGUAGAUAAGGACAACAUUGUUUAAAAUUAUUAUCACGACUUUGUUUUUGCUGAUAACGACGUUGUUGUGGGAGACGACGAUGUUGUUGUUGGUGACAACAAUUGUGAUUUUCAUUUAAAAUUGCGUUUUCCUCGACGAUGACGCAGUUAAUUGCGAUAACAAUUGUUUUAUUGUUGGUUGCCAUGUUUUUUUUUAUGUUGAACGUAUUGUUGUGAUGAUAACAUCUUUUUUGUAAAUGAUGACGACCCUUUUGGUGAUUACGUUGCUGUUUUUAAAGCUGACGACUUUGUGAUUUUGUUGUUGAUGAUGAUUGCAACAUUUAUGCAAGAAGACUCGAUCCUUUUUAUACUGACAACGUAAUGUUUUCUGUUAAUGUUGACAACGUUGUUUUUGAUGGUAAGGACGUUGUUGCGUUUGAUUUAAUGAUAUUGUUUUAAAUAACGACUUGGUUUGUUGAUGAUCAUGAAGAUAUUGAUGCUUGUGAUGACAACGCUGUUUGUUUUGAUAAUGAUGGCGUUGGUGUCACUGAUAAAAUGUGUUGUUUAUGUUGAAGAAGUUGUUUAAGCUGACGACAUUUUUUUUGUGUUAAGUAAUCAGGAAAGUAUUUAUGCAAGAAAAUGAACAUUUUGCAAAAACUGUCAGUUUGUGUAUUUGCGCUCCUUUGCAUAUAAAGUGCAAUAAGAACAUUAAGGAAGUUUUAAAUAUUAUCUUUUUUGCUAUUCUGUCUCAAAAUCCUUGAAAACUAUAACUGCUAGUGUUAUACACUGGACUUUUAUAUAAAUCACCUCUUACAUGUGUGCAUUUGGCUUUUUUGAUUUUCGAUGAAAACGAGUUUUGUUAAAUAAAAAAAGUGAAAUAUAGGUGGCAUUUGACCAUCUUCUUAACUUGCGAAGCGCAUGGUAACACUUGAAGGGAAACAGUUCGGUUUUCAGAGCAGGAUGUUUUAACAAGGAAACAAGGAAACAGGACGACACCGCAGUCGAUUAGCUUUUAAUGAUGUAAGGUUCGUGGUUAUCGUGCGAACAGGUCCACACUUUACCUCCUUGCUGUAGCACGUAAAAGAAAACCAACUGGUAUUCAAACAUAUGACGAUUUUGAAGCUCGAACUCUGGCAAGGCUUCUCCGUUUAUUACAAGGAACACAUCAGUUUGUCUUUCAUUACUAAAAUUGACAUGGUUUGAUUGUUCAAAAGCGUCUCUGAGUCAUCGCCGGCUAAGGAAACGAUCUAGUUAACGAAUGCAUGCCUUAAUAUAAUUUCUAUAAUCAUUUUACUAUAAUAUAUAUUUCAUCCUUUAAACAUACUUACAAAGGCAGAAAUAAAAGUGCUUUAGUUUUUUAUCCAUAACACUCUCUGCUACGCAAUGGAAUACACAAGCCUGCUUUGUAUUGUUUAAAUUUGUGGUCUAAACAUACGA
Long non-coding RNA from Dreissena polymorpha, 2166 nucleotides. RefSeq lists it as uncharacterized. The transcript has 3 exons. NCBI's taxonomy places the organism in Eukaryota, Metazoa, Mollusca, Bivalvia, Myida, Dreissenidae. The record is from RefSeq and is a predicted model, not a curated record.